GCAAGCGUUAUCCGGAAUCAUUGGGCGUAAAGCGCCUGUAGGUUGCCUAAUAAGUCUGUUGUUAAAGACCAGGGCUUAACCCUGGGAAAGCAAUGGAAACUACUAGGCUUGAGUAUGGUAGGGGUAGAGGGAAUUUCUAGUGUAGCGGUGAAAUGCGUAGAUAUUAGAAAGAACACCGGUGGCGAAAGCGCUCUACCUGGGCCAUUACUGACACUCAGAGGCGAAAGCUAGGGGAGCGAAAGGGAUUAGAUACCCCUGUAGUCCUAGCCGUAAACGAUGGAUACUAGGUGUUGURUUUAUAUACAGUAUCGUAGCUAACGCGUUAAGUAUCCCGCCUGGGGAGUACGCUCGCAAGGGUGAAACUCAAAGGAAUUGACGGGGGCCCGCACAAGCGGUGGAGCAUGUGGUUUAAUUCGAUGCAACGCGAAGAACCUUACCAGGGCUUGACAUACUACAAAUCUUUUUGAGACGAAAGAGUGCCUUYGGGAAUGUAGAUACAGGUGGUGCAUGGCUGUCGUCAGCUCGUGUCGUGAGAUGUUGGGUUAAGUCCCGCAACGAGCGCAACCCUCGUUUUUAGUUGCCAAUUUAUUGGGAUUUCUAAAGAGACUGCCGAUGAUAAAUCGGAGGAAGGUGAGGAUGACGUCAAGUCAGCAUGCCCCUUAUGUCCUGGGCCACACACGUGCUACAAUGGCAAAGACAAAGAGUCGCAAAUUCGCGAGAACUAGCUAAUCUCAUA
RNAcentral lists this ribosomal RNA (736 nucleotides) under Umbilicosphaera sibogae. Its description in RNAcentral is "bacterial SSU rRNA". It matches the Rfam family "Bacterial small subunit ribosomal RNA", at positions 534 to 1278 of the family's 1533-position model. The record is from RNAcentral. Lineage: Eukaryota; Haptophyta; Coccolithales; Calcidiscaceae.